AAAGGAAUAGACGGGAGCCCGCACAAGCAGUGGAGUAUGUGGUUUAAUUCGACGCAACGCGAAGAACCUUACCAGGAUUUGACAUCCCGAGAACCCGACGUAAUGGUUGGGGUGCCCUUCGGGGAAUUCGGAGACAGGUGGUGCAUGGUUGUCGUCAGCUCGUGUCGUGAGAUGUUGGGUUAAGUCCCGCAACGAGCGCAACCCUUACGGUUAGUUGCUACGCAAGAGCACUCUAGCCGGACUGCCGUUGACAAAACGGAGGAAGGUGGGGAUGACGUCAAAUCAUCAUGCCCCUUAAGUUCUGGGCCACACACGUACUACAAUGGCGAAAACAACGGGAAGCGAAGCCGCGAGGCGGAGCAAAUCCCAUAAAAGUCGUCCCAGUUCGGAUAGCAGGCUGCAACCCGCCUGCUUGAAGUUGGAAUUGCUAGUAAUCGCGGAUCAGCAUGCCGCGGUGAAUACGUUCCCGGGCUUUGUACACACCGCCCGU
This 490-nucleotide ribosomal RNA is filed under the name uncultured bacterium. RNAcentral's name for it is "bacterial SSU rRNA". It matches the Rfam family "Bacterial small subunit ribosomal RNA", at positions 903 to 1397 of the family's 1533-position model. The record is from RNAcentral.